AACAAAAACAUGUCCUUUAGAGAAGAGUUUAAGGUCUAACCUGCCCAUUGAGUAUUGUUAAAAGGCCGCAGUAUUUUGACUGUGCAAAGGUAGCAUAAUCAUUAGUUUUUUAAUUGAAAGCUUGUAUGAAUGGUUGGACGAGAUAUAAUCUGUCUUUAAAUUAUUAUUAGAAUUUGUUUUUUAAGUUAAAAAUCUUAAUUGAAAUUAAUAGACGAGAAGACCCUAUAGAUCUUUAUAAUUAUUUAGGUUUAAAUCUUUAGGAUUAUUAAUUUUUAUAUUUAUUUAUUUAUUUAGUUGGGGUAAUUAAAAGAUUAUAAUAAUUCUUUUUUUAUUAUACAUUUAUUAGUGGAAAAAUAAAGAUCCAAUAUUAUUGAUUAUAAGAUUAAGUUACCUUAGGGAUAACAGCGUAAUUUUUUUGGAGAGUUCUUAUCGAUAAAAAAGUUUGCGACCUCGAUGUUG
This 459-nucleotide ribosomal RNA is filed under the name Clypeodytes sordidipennis. RNAcentral describes it as "partial 16S ribosomal RNA". It matches the Rfam family "Bacterial large subunit ribosomal RNA", at positions 1806 to 2534 of the family's 2925-position model. The record is from RNAcentral. Lineage: Eukaryota; Metazoa; Arthropoda; Insecta; Coleoptera; Dytiscidae.